AAGCCAGACUCCUACGGGAGGCAGCAGUGGGGAAUAUUGCACAAUGGGGGAAACCCUGAUGCAGCGACGCCGCGUGAGUGAAGAAGUAUUUCGGUAUGUAAAGCUCUAUCAGCAGGGAAGAAAAUGACGGUACCUGACUAAGAAGCUCCGGCUAAAUACGUGCCAGCAGCCGCGGUAAUACGUAUGGUGCAAGCGUUAUCCGGAAUGACUGGGUGUAAAGGGAGCGUAGACGGUUGUACAAGUCUGAUGUGAAAGCCCACGGCUCAACUGUGGGAGUGCAUUGGAAGCUGUAGAACUAGAGUAUCGGAGAGGCAAGUGGAAUUCCUAGUGUAGCGGUGAAAUGCGUAGAUAUUAGGAGGAACACCAGUGGCGAAGGCGGCUUACUGGACUGUAACUGACGUUGAGGCUCGAAAGCGUGGGGAGCAAACAGGAUUAGAUACCCCCGUA
This 447-nucleotide ribosomal RNA is filed under the name uncultured bacterium. RNAcentral describes it as "bacterial SSU rRNA". It matches the Rfam family "Bacterial small subunit ribosomal RNA", at positions 328 to 792 of the family's 1533-position model. The record is from RNAcentral.